Molecule: ribosomal RNA, 306 nt
Filed under: uncultured Peredibacter sp.
Lineage: Bacteria; Pseudomonadati; Bdellovibrionota; Bacteriovoracia; Bacteriovoracales; Bacteriovoracaceae
Description: bacterial SSU rRNA
Rfam family: Bacterial small subunit ribosomal RNA
Source: RNAcentral
GAGAGGUGCUGCAUGGCUGUCGUCAGCUCGUGCUGUGAAAUGUUGGGUUAAGUCUCGCAACGAGCGCAACCCCUAUCGUCUGUUGCCAGCAUUAAGUUGGGCACUCUGACGAGACUGCCUGGGUUAACCAGGAGGAAGGUGGGGAUGACGUCAAGUCCUCAUGGCCCUUAUGUCUAGGGCUACACACGUAAUACAAUGGCGCGUACAAAGGGAAGCGAACUCGCAAGAGGGAGCAAAUCUCAAAAAGCGCGCCUCAGUUCGGAUUGAAGUCUGCAACUCGACUUCAUGAAGUCGGAAUCGCUAGUA